RNAcentral lists this ribosomal RNA (490 nucleotides) under uncultured bacterium. RNAcentral describes it as "partial 16S ribosomal RNA". It matches the Rfam family "Bacterial small subunit ribosomal RNA", at positions 28 to 506 of the family's 1533-position model. The record is from RNAcentral.
GAUGAACGCUGGCUACAGGCUUAACACAUGCAAGUCGAGGGGAAACGACGGGGAAGCUUGCUUCCCCGGGCGUCGACCGGCGCACGGGUGAGUAACGCGUAUCCAACCUGCCUCUGACUGAGGGAUAACCCGUCGAAAGUCGGCCUAAUACCUCAUGGCAUCGUCUGCGGGCAUCCAACGACGAUUAAAGAUUUCAUCGGUCAGAGAUGGGGAUGCGUCUGAUUAGCUUGUUGGCGGGGUAACGGCCCACCAAGGCGACGAUCAGUAGGGGUUCUGAGAGGAAGGUCCCCCACAUUGGAACUGGGACCCGGCCCAAACUCCGAGGGGAGGAGGCAGUGGGGAAUAUUGGUCAAGGGGGGGGACCCGGAACCCGCAAAGGAGCGGCCAGAGUGACGGCCCUUUGGUGUUGAACCUGCUUUUAUGGGGGGAAAAAGGAGGGGCCGUGUCCUUCAUUGCGGGUCCCGCUGAAAAAAGGACCGGCUAAUUCCGU